RNAcentral lists this long non-coding RNA (353 nucleotides) under Phascolarctos cinereus (koala). RNAcentral describes it as "lncRNA (ENSPCIG00000024896.2)". Lineage: Eukaryota; Metazoa; Chordata; Mammalia; Diprotodontia; Phascolarctidae. The record is from RNAcentral.
CCUCACUGCAGUGGUUCUGAGCUUCAGCAGGCAUAGAGGAGCAUCAGCUGAGUGGGGCUGGUACCAGGGAACUGGAAAGCUUCUUGGGAAAGGCUCUGAGUCAGACCCUGAAGCUACUAUACCUGCUAAGGUGGAAGUACAUAUUCCCCUGAGCCCUCAGUUGACUGGUCUGGUACUGCCUGUAACUCAUGGCUGACCUGGACCAAGAGACCUUCUGUCACUACAGUGCCAUUUAGCAAGAAGGCUGGUGAUAAAAGCAUUGUGGGAAAGACCACUUGAGAAGUGACCCAUCACGGAGCUAAGAAGGCUGAAAUCUGGGCAUGCCAUUCCAACUGUCUGUUCUUCCUGGGUCC